Molecule: ribosomal RNA, 1882 nt
Filed under: Drosophila melanogaster (fruit fly)
Lineage: Eukaryota; Metazoa; Arthropoda; Insecta; Diptera; Drosophilidae
Description: eukaryotic LSU rRNA
Rfam family: Eukaryotic large subunit ribosomal RNA
Source: RNAcentral
UAUAUAAACAAAGCGAAUUAUAAUACACUUGAAUAAUUUUGAACGAAAGGGAAUACGGUUCCAAUUCCGUAACCUGUUGAGUAUCCGUUUGUUAUUAAAUAUGGGCCUCGUGCUCAUCCUGGCAACAGGAACGACCAUAAAGAAGCCGUCGAGAGAUAUCGGAAGAGUUUUCUUUUCUGUUUUAUAGCCGUACUACCAUGGAAGUCUUUCGCAGAGAGAUAUGGUAGAUGGGCUAGAAGAGCAUGACAUAUACUGUUGUGUCGAUAUUUUCUCCUCGGACCUUGAAAAUUUAUGGUGGGGACACGCAAACUUCUCAACAGGCCGUACCAAUAUCCGCAGCUGGUCUCCAAGGUGAAGAGUCUCUAGUCGAUAGAAUAAUGUAGGUAAGGGAAGUCGGCAAAUUAGAUCCGUAACUUCGGGAUAAGGAUUGGCUCUGAAGAUUGAGAUAGUCGGGCUUGAUUGGGAAACAAUAACAUGGUUUAUGUGCUCGUUCUGGGUAAAUAGAGUUUCUAGCAUUUAUGUUAGUUACUUGUUCCCCGGAUAGUUUAGUUACGUAGCCAAUUGUGGAACUUUCUUGCUAAAAUUUUUAAGAAUACUAUUUGGGUUAAACCAAUUAGUUCUUAUUAAUUAUAACGAUUAUCAAUUAACAAUCAAUUCAGAACUGGCACGGACUUGGGGAAUCCGACUGUCUAAUUAAAACAAAGCAUUGUGAUGGCCCUAGCGGGUGUUGACACAAUGUGAUUUCUGCCCAGUGCUCUGAAUGUCAAAGUGAAGAAAUUCAAGUAAGCGCGGGUCAACGGCGGGAGUAACUAUGACUCUCUUAAGGUAGCCAAAUGCCUCGUCAUCUAAUUAGUGACGCGCAUGAAUGGAUUAACGAGAUUCCUACUGUCCCUAUCUACUAUCUAGCGAAACCACAGCCAAGGGAACGGGCUUGGAAUAAUUAGCGGGGAAAGAAGACCCUUUUGAGCUUGACUCUAAUCUGGCAGUGUAAGGAGACAUAAGAGGUGUAGAAUAAGUGGGAGAUAUUAGACCUCGGUUUGGUAUCGUCAAUGAAAUACCACUACUCUUAUUGUUUCCUUACUUACUUGAUUAAAUGGAACGUGUAUCAUUUCCUAGCCAUUAUACGGAUAUAUUUAUUAUAUCUUAUGGUAUUGGGUUUUGAUGCAAGCUUCUUGAUCAAAGUAUCACGAGUUUGUUAUAUAAUCGCAAACAAAUUCUUUAAUAAAACGAUGCAUUUAUGUAUUUUUGAUUUGAAAAUUUGGUAUAACUCCAAUUACUCAGGUAUGAUCCAAUUCAAGGACAUUGCCAGGUAGGGAGUUUGACUGGGGCGGUACAUCUCUCAAAUAAUAACGGAGGUGUCCCAAGGCCAGCUCAGUGCGGACAGAAACCACACAUAGAGCAAAAGGGCAAAUGCUGACUUGAUCUCGGUGUUCAGUACACACAGGGACAGCAAAAGCUCGGCCUAUCGAUCCUUUUGGUUUAAAGAGUUUUUAACAAGAGGUGUCAGAAAAGUUACCAUAGGGAUAACUGGCUUGUGGCGGCCAAGCGUUCAUAGCGACGUCGCUUUUUGAUCCUUCGAUGUCGGCUCUUCCUAUCAUUGUGAAGCAAAAUUCACCAAGCGUUGGAUUGUUCACCCAUGCAAGGGAACGUGAGCUGGGUUUAGACCGUCGUGAGACAGGUUAGUUUUACCCUACUAAUGACAAAACGUUGUUGCGACAGCAUUCCUGCGUAGUACGAGAGGAACCGCAGGUACGGACCAAUGGCACAAUACUUGUUCGAGCGAACAGUGGUAUGACGCUACGUCCGUUGGAUUAUGCCUGAACGCCUCUAAGGUCGUAUCCGUGCUGGACUGCAAUGAUAAAUAAGGGGCAAUUUGCAUUGU